Molecule: ribosomal RNA, 463 nt
Filed under: uncultured bacterium
Lineage: Bacteria
Description: bacterial SSU rRNA
Rfam family: Bacterial small subunit ribosomal RNA
Source: RNAcentral
CUAGACUCCUACGGGAGGCAGCAGUGAGGAAUAUUGGUCAAUGGGCGAGAGCCUGAACCAGCCAAGUCGCGUGAGGGAAGACGGUCCUAUGGAUUGUAAACCUCUUUUGCCGGGGAGCAAAAAGCGGUACGUGUACCGCAUCGAGAGUACCCGGAGAAAAAGCAUCGGCUAACUCCGUGCCAGCAGCCGCGGUAAUACGGAGGAUGCAAGCGUUAUCCGGAUUUAUUGGGUUUAAAGGGUGCGUAGGCGGAAUAUCAAGUCAGCGGUAAAAUUGAGAGGCUCAACCUCUUCGAGCCGUUGAAACUGGCAGUCUCGAGUUGGAGAGAAGUAUGCGGAAUGCGCGGUGUAGCGGUGAAAUGCAUAGAUAUCGCGCAGAACUCCGAUUGCGAAGGCAGCAUGCCGGCUCCACACUGACGCUGAGGCACGAAAGCGUGGGUAUCGAACAGGAUUAGAUACCCCCGUA